GGUGAGAUGGCCGAGAGGAUUAAGGCGCUCCCCUGCUAAGGGAGUAUGCAGAAAAAAUCUGCAUCGAGGGUUCGAAUCCCUCUCUCACCGCCA
This 93-nucleotide transfer RNA is filed under the name Buchnera aphidicola (Rhopalosiphum padi). RNAcentral describes it as "tRNA-Ser". It matches the Rfam family "tRNA". Rfam says of the family: Transfer RNA (tRNA) molecules are approximately 80 nucleotides in length. The record is from RNAcentral. Lineage: Bacteria; Pseudomonadati; Pseudomonadota; Gammaproteobacteria; Enterobacterales; Erwiniaceae.